This 484-nucleotide ribosomal RNA is filed under the name uncultured bacterium. RNAcentral describes it as "partial 16S ribosomal RNA". It matches the Rfam family "Bacterial small subunit ribosomal RNA", at positions 30 to 507 of the family's 1533-position model. The record is from RNAcentral.
AUUGAACGCUGGCGGCAGGCCUAACACAUGCAAGUCGAGCGGAUGAAGGGAGCUUGCUCCUGGAUUCAGCGGCGGACGGGUGAGUAAUGCCUAGGAAUCUGCCUGGUAGUGGGGGAUAACGUCCGGAAACGGGCGCUAAUACCGCAUACGUCCUGAGGGAGAAAGUGGGGGAUCUUCGGACCUCACGCUAUCAGAUGAGCCUAGGUCGGAUUAGCUAGUUGGUGGGGUAAAGGCCUACCAAGGCGACGAUCCGUAACUGGUCUGAGAGGAUGAUCAGUCACACCGGAACUGAGACACGGUCCAGACUCCUACGGGAGGCAGCAGUGGGGAAUAUUGGACAAUGGGCGAAAGCCUGAUCCAGCCAUGCCGCGUGUGUGAAGAAGGUCUUCGGAUUGUAAAGCACUUUAAGUUGGGAGGAAGGGCGGUAAGUUAAUACCUUGCUGUUUUGACGUUACCAACAGAAUAAGCACCGGCUAACUUCGUG